GAUGAAGAACGUAGCGAAAUGCGAUACUUGGUGUGAAUUGCAGAAUCCCGUGAACCAUCGAGUCUUUGAACGCAAGUUGCGCCCGAAGCCAUUAGGCCGAGGGCACGCCUGCCUGGGCGUCACACGUCGUUGCCCCCCCAUCUACUCCUUCGGGAUUGCGGGGGGCGGAUGAUGGCCUCUCGUGCGCCUCGUCGCGCGGUUGGCCUAAAUGCCAAGUCCUCGGCGACGCACGCCACGACAAUCGGUGGUUGCGAAACCUCGGUUGCCUGUCGUGUGCGGUCGUCGCGCAUCGAGGGCUCGAAAAAAUUGCCGGGCUUCGGCUCGCCUUUCAACGCGACCCCAGGUCAGGCGGGGUUACCCGCUGAAUUUAAGCAUAUCAAUAAGCGGAGGA
RNAcentral lists this unclassified non-coding RNA (391 nucleotides) under soil metagenome. Its description in RNAcentral is "partial contains 5.8S ribosomal RNA, internal transcribed spacer 2, and large subunit ribosomal RNA". The stretch from base 1 to 122 matches the Rfam family "5.8S ribosomal RNA", at positions 35 to 154 of the family's 154-position model. The record is from RNAcentral.